GGGUUGUGAGGUUAAGCGACUAAGCGUACACGGUGGAUGCCCUGGCAGUCAGAGGCGAUGAAGGACGUGCUAAUCUGCGAUAAGCGUCGGUAAGGUGAUAUGAACCGUUAUAACCGGCGAUUUCCGAAUGGGGAAACCCAGUGUGAUUCGUCACACUAUCAUUAACUGAAUCCAUAGGUUAAUGAGGCGAACCGGGGGAACUGAAACAUCUAAGUACCCCGAGGAAAAGAAAUCAACCGAGAUUCCCCCAGUAGCGGCGAGCGAACGGGGAGCAGCCCAGAGCCUGAAUCAGUGUGUGUGUUAGUGGAAGCGUCUGGAAAGGCGUGCGAUACAGGGUGACAGCCCCGUACACAAAAAUGCACAUGCUGUGAGCUCGAUGAGUAGGGCGGGACACGUGGUAUCCUGUCUGAAUAUGGGGGGACCAUCCUCCAAGGCUAAAUACUCCUGACUGACCGAUAGUGAACCAGUACCGUGAGGGAAAGGCGAAAAGAACCCCGGCGAGGGGAGUGAAAAAGAACCUGAAACCGUGUACGUACAAGCAGUGGGAGCAC
Molecule: ribosomal RNA, 551 nt
Filed under: Escherichia coli
Lineage: Bacteria; Pseudomonadati; Pseudomonadota; Gammaproteobacteria; Enterobacterales; Enterobacteriaceae
Description: partial 23S ribosomal RNA
Rfam family: Bacterial large subunit ribosomal RNA
Source: RNAcentral